UACGUAGGGUGCAAGCGUUAAUCGGCAUUACUGGGCGUAAAGCGUGCGCAGGCGGUUUCGUAAGUCUGUCGUGAAAUCCCCGGGCUUAACCUGGGAAUGGCGAUGGAGACUGCGAGGCUAGAGUUUGGCAGAGGGGGGUAGAAUUCCACGUGUAGCAGUGAAAUGCGUAGAGAUGUGGAGGAACACCGAUGGCGAAGGCAGCCCCCUGGGUCAAAACUGACGCUCAUGCACGAAAGCGUGGGGAGCAAACAGG
RNAcentral lists this ribosomal RNA (253 nucleotides) under uncultured bacterium. RNAcentral's name for it is "partial 16S ribosomal RNA". It matches the Rfam family "Bacterial small subunit ribosomal RNA", at positions 524 to 776 of the family's 1533-position model. The record is from RNAcentral.